RNAcentral lists this non-coding RNA (25 nucleotides) under Mus musculus (house mouse). Lineage: Eukaryota; Metazoa; Chordata; Mammalia; Rodentia; Muridae. The record is from RNAcentral.
UCUGAUUUGGUUGACUCUGUUAUGG